This 489-nucleotide ribosomal RNA is filed under the name uncultured bacterium. Its description in RNAcentral is "partial 16S ribosomal RNA". It matches the Rfam family "Bacterial small subunit ribosomal RNA", at positions 30 to 506 of the family's 1533-position model. The record is from RNAcentral.
AUUGAACGCUGGCGGCAGGCCUAACACAUGCAAGUCGAACGGUAACAGGAAGAAGCUUGCUUCUUUGCUGACGAGUGGCGGACGGGUGAGUAAUGUCUGGGAAACUGCCUGAUGGAGGGGGAUAACUACUGGAAACGGUAGCUAAUACCGCAUAACGUCGCAAGACCAAAGAGGGGGACCUUCGGGCCUCUUGCCAUCGGAUGUGCCCAGAUGGGAUUAGCUAGUAGGUGGGGUAACGGCUCACCUAGGCGACGAUCCCUAGCUGGUCUGAGAGGAUAACCAGCCACACUGGAACUGAGACACGGUCCAGACUCCUACGGGAGGCAGCAGUGGGGAAUAUUGCACAAUGGGCGCAAGCCUGAUGCAGCCAUGCCGCGUGUAUGAAGAAGGCCUUCGGGUUGUAAAGUACUUUCAGCGGGGAGGAAGGGAGUAAAGUUAAUACCUUUGCUCAUUGACGUUACCCGCAGAAGAAGCACCGGCUAACUCCGU